UUUUAACGGCUGCGGUAUUUUGACCGUGCUAAGGUAGCAUAAUCAAUUGUUUUUUAAUUGAAAACUAGUAUGAACGGUUUAAUUUACUUAAUUAGUUUGUAAUUUUUAAUAGUAAGUUAAAUAUAAAGUAAGAAUUCUUUAAUAAAUUAGGGGACGAUAAGACCCUAAAAGCUUUAUGAUUGGCAUUUAAUUGGUGAUAGCGGUGUUAUUAAUUCACUGGGGCAGUGAGUUUAGGUAUAUUUAAGUAUAAUUAAAAGCUCCUUUAAAUAAAGAUUUCAUGUAUAAGUUACUUUAGGGAUAACAGUGCAAUAUAUU
This 315-nucleotide ribosomal RNA is filed under the name Dikerogammarus haemobaphes. RNAcentral's name for it is "partial 16S ribosomal RNA". Lineage: Eukaryota; Metazoa; Arthropoda; Malacostraca; Amphipoda; Gammaridae. The record is from RNAcentral.